UACGAAGGGGGCUAGCGUUGCUCGGAAUUACUGGGUGUAAAGCGCGUGUAGGCGGGCGGCCAAGUCUGUGGUGAAAUCGCUCGGCUUAACUGGGCGGGGUCCAUGGAAACUGGUCACCUGGAGGUCGGUAGAGGCAAGUGGAAUUCCCGGUGUAGUGGUGAAAUGCGUAGAGAUCGGGAGGAACACCAGUGGCGAAGGCGGCUUGCUGGGCCGGACCUGACGCUGAGACGCGAAGGCGUGGGGAGCGAACGGG
RNAcentral lists this ribosomal RNA (253 nucleotides) under uncultured bacterium. Its description in RNAcentral is "partial 16S ribosomal RNA". It matches the Rfam family "Bacterial small subunit ribosomal RNA", at positions 524 to 776 of the family's 1533-position model. The record is from RNAcentral.